Molecule: ribosomal RNA, 446 nt
Filed under: uncultured bacterium
Lineage: Bacteria
Description: partial 16S ribosomal RNA
Rfam family: Bacterial small subunit ribosomal RNA
Source: RNAcentral
AACGAACGCUGGCGGCAGGCUUAACACAUGCAAGUCGAACGCUCCGCAAGGAGAGUGGCAGACGGGUGAGUAACACGUGGGAACGUACCCUUUACUACGGAACAACUCCGGGAAACUGGAGCUAAUACCGUAUGUGCCCUUUGGGGAAAGAUUUAUCGGUAAAGGAUCGGCCCGCGUUGGAUUAGCUAGUUGGUGGGGUAAAGGCCUACCAAGGCGACGAUCCAUAGCUGGUCUGAGAGGAUGAUCAGCCACAUUGGGGCUGAGACACGGCCCAAACUCCUACGGGAGGCAGCAGUGGGGAAUAUUGGACAAUGGGCGCAAGCCUGAUCCAGCCAUGCCGCGUGUGUGAUGAAGGCCUUAGGGUUGUAAAGCACUUUCACCGGAGAAGAUAAUGACGGUAUCCGGAGAAGAAGCCCCGGCUAACUUCGUGCCAGCAGCCGCAGUAA